GAAAAUCUUCGGGGCAGGGUGAAAUUCCCGAUCGGCGGUAAAGUCCGCGAACCAAUUUGGUUGAACUAGUGAAAUUCUAGUACCGACUGUAUAGUCAGGAUGAGAGAAGAAGAUA
RNAcentral lists this non-coding RNA (115 nucleotides) under Aerococcus urinaehominis. Its description in RNAcentral is "FMN sequence". It matches the Rfam family "FMN riboswitch aptamer (RFN element)". Rfam says of the family: The RFN element is a highly conserved domain that is found frequently in the 5'-untranslated regions of prokaryotic mRNAs that encode for flavin mononucleotide (FMN) biosynthesis and transport proteins. The record is from Rfam by way of RNAcentral. Lineage: Bacteria; Bacillati; Bacillota; Bacilli; Lactobacillales; Aerococcaceae.